Molecule: transfer RNA, 73 nt
Filed under: Stegodyphus mimosarum
Lineage: Eukaryota; Metazoa; Arthropoda; Arachnida; Araneae; Eresidae
Rfam family: tRNA
About the family: Transfer RNA (tRNA) molecules are approximately 80 nucleotides in length. Their secondary structure includes four short double-helical elements and three loops (D, anti-codon, and T loops).
Source: Rfam by way of RNAcentral
ACCUUCCUUGUAUAGUGGUCAGCAUGCUCGACUGGUAUUCGAGCGGUCCGUGGUUCGAGUCCCGGGGAAGGCG